GGCCCUACGGGAGGCAGCAGUGAGGAAUAUUGCACAAUGGGGGAAACCCUGAUGCAGCAACGCCGCGUGAAGGCAGACGGUUUUCGGAUUGUAAACUUCUUUUCUUAGUGAAGAAGCAAGUGACGGUAGCUAAGGAAUAAGCAUCGGCUAACUACGUGCCAGCAGCCGCGGUAAUCCGUAGGAUGCGAGCGUUAUCCGGAAUUACUGGGUGUAAAGAGUGCGCAGGCGGGACUGCAAGUUGGAU
This 244-nucleotide ribosomal RNA is filed under the name uncultured bacterium. Its description in RNAcentral is "partial 16S ribosomal RNA". It matches the Rfam family "Bacterial small subunit ribosomal RNA", at positions 334 to 593 of the family's 1533-position model. The record is from RNAcentral.